UAUCUACUAUAUCUAUUAUACGAGAACAGCUUUUUACCUUGAGCAAAUUUAUUCAGGUUUGGAGACCCCAAACCUACUUUCUAACCUCCGCUAAUGUUAAGUCAUGUCCCUCUGCUUCUUCUACCCGACCUAAAGCUACAUGUCAGCGCUGAUAACACUAUUCAGCAUCUGCUUUCGGACUCCAUGACGCCCGAUCUUGUGACUCAUUCAGGUGAGUUCGAUGUUGUUGGAAUCAACCCACAGCAAAGUGCAGAUGCUGCUUCAGCCUUGGGCUGGCCACAAGUCGUAUGCAGAGAAAGAAGAUUCAAGAUUUUUGACUUGGAAGUUGGGGCACUUUCGGGGAUAUCAAACUCAGAAGUGCCUGUGGUACAAGCUGUGUAUGCCAGCAUGAAAGGAUUAAUCAAAAUGCACAACCCAAGUGUCGUGAUCACAAUCAAUGAUAUCGAUCUUAAUGUGAUGAAAGCCUUGAAGAUGGCAACAGAGACUAAUACAAAUGGUUCUGUUUUGAUUUUAUUACCAAGGUCCUCGGUGUCAAAGGCUCUUUGGAUGGCCGAUUUGCGGGCUACAGCUUUACCAAAAUAAAACUGAAGAGAAGUUCAAGCCAAAGCCAGCUUCCCUUGCGGCAAGUCGGAAACAGCUAUUGCUGCCAAAAGCUCCUCCAGCUGCUUCAAAACAGGAAUGUGGUGGAUCUUCAUCAGCACUGAAGCCACAAAUUGAUGACUCAUAUAUCGCUUUUUUGGAGGAUAUAUAAGAGCUGGGUGCUCUUGAUAGUUGUGUUGAUUUUCAAAUGAGAUGGUGGAAAUGUGAAGAGUUGCAUGGAAGUUUCUGAAGGUUAAGCAGUGUAUAUAGGCCGGGACGAUAAUGCACAAUGAUUUAUGUGCGGGAGAACAUUUCCCCAUGGUUUAUGGCUGGUUCCUUUCACUAAUAUUACAGUCAUUUGGGACCUCCGCGAAGACUAUUAACUGCAGAAGAAGAAGAAGAUACCAAUUAUCUGGCUAUUUUCUUUGCUUUUUGUAGUUGCCAGAGGCCUCUAGCUCAGCACACACUACAGCUUACCUCUAUGUUAAUUGCUGGGGCAUUAUUACAGACCUCAGAUGUUGAUAGCUACAAGAACUCAUCUAUGGUGUUGGAAUCAGUCCACGGCAAAGUGCAGCUUUAGCGUCUUCCAUGCUUUCUCGCUGCCGGCAUCGGAUUUCGGGGGCAUCAGACCUCUCUCUGACCUCCGACAUUAAUCCAAAUUAGGAUAUUGUAAGCUAAUUAGUCCCAAUCUCAACUACCCGAAACAGAAGCUCUGAAGAAUCAAUAAACAAAUCGAAGAGGGAGAAUGCAAACCUGGAAACCAUAGUUAAUGUCUUGCCAAACAACGGAGUUGCCGAUCAUUGUGGUCUCGUGUAAUUCAUUAUUACACGUAACUAUGUAACAAUAAUACGUAUAGGAAGGGAGUAUUCACAUAAUAAUUUGGGAAGUUGAAACACAAAUGGUGGAUGUCAUGGAGCCAACUCCUACGGCGGAGAUGCAAUGUGGUCCUGUAAUGGUAACCUAUCUUUAGCAAAGAAGGUGAAGGUCCACCUAACGGCAACAUCAUUAUUAUUAUCAAAUAUUUUUUUUUUAAUAUUAUGAAAUGUUUAUGACAUAGUACAUAAAAUUCAUAGUAUAUGGCCAUCGAGUCUAGGUGUCAUUUUUUUAUUUCGAACUUCUCAUGAUAACGACGAGGUAAUAACAUCUAAAGAUGGAAUUCUUGAUAUGUACUGGCGGUUGCUUUAGUGUUUUGUUUAGUAUGUGUUCAUCAUUGACAUACCUUCAUUUUAUUAAAUUUUACAUGGAGUUAGCAUU
This is an RNA transcript of Daucus carota subsp. sativus, 1833 nucleotides long. RefSeq lists it as uncharacterized. The record is from RefSeq and is a predicted model, not a curated record. The transcript is spliced from 7 exons. NCBI's taxonomy places the organism in Eukaryota, Viridiplantae, Streptophyta, Magnoliopsida, Apiales, Apiaceae.